AGAUGGCGACCGGCGCACGGGUGAGUAACACGUAUCCAACCUGCCGAUAACUCGGGGAUAGCCUUUCGAAAGAAAGAUUAAUACCCGAUGGUAUAAUCAGACCGCAUGGUUUGAUUAUUAAAGAAUUUCGGUUAUCGAUGGGGAUGCGUUCCAUUAGGCAGUUGGUGAGGUAACGGCUCACCAAACCUUCGAUGGAUAGGGGUCCUGAGAGGAAGGUCCCCCACAUUGGAACUGAGACACGGUCCAA
RNAcentral lists this ribosomal RNA (247 nucleotides) under uncultured bacterium. RNAcentral's name for it is "partial 16S ribosomal RNA". It matches the Rfam family "Bacterial small subunit ribosomal RNA", at positions 86 to 334 of the family's 1533-position model. The record is from RNAcentral.